CAAUACCUUCGUUAGGUGAGGCUCCUAUGCUGGAGAGACGCUACUGCCCAAAAAUGUCCAAAGACGCCAAUGGGUCAACAGGAACUAUCGACAUAAGGUGGUUUUUAAUGUAGCUGGAUGCAAUCCUAUGCCGCAUAGUGCUAAAGCUCUACGAUUAGAAGGUCUAA
Molecule: small RNA, 167 nt
Filed under: Anaerobacillus isosaccharinicus
Lineage: Bacteria; Bacillati; Bacillota; Bacilli; Caryophanales; Bacillaceae
Also listed under: 1 other name
Description: Anaerobacillus sp. NB2006 M-box riboswitch aptamer (ykoK leader)
Rfam family: M-box riboswitch aptamer (ykoK leader)
About the family: M-box riboswitch, also know as ykoK leader is described as a metaloregulatory RNA that sense divalent metals and function as a genetic control element of genes related to divalent metal transport in bacteria. It was first reported upstream of the B.subtilis ykoK gene and genes with related functions in other bacteria.
Source: Rfam by way of RNAcentral